Molecule: ribosomal RNA, 250 nt
Filed under: uncultured bacterium
Lineage: Bacteria
Description: partial 16S ribosomal RNA
Rfam family: Bacterial small subunit ribosomal RNA
Source: RNAcentral
UACGUAGGUGGCAAGCGUUGUCCGGAUUUACUGGGCGUAAAGAGCGCGCAGGCGGUCGUUUAAGUCGAAUGUGAAAGCCCCCGGCUCAACUGGGGAGGGUCAUUCGAUACUGAUCGACUUGAAGGCAGGAGAGAGAAGUGGAAUUCCCGGUGUAGUGGUGAAAUGCGUAGAUAUCGGGAGGAACACCAGUGGCGAAGGCGACACACUGGCUCACUACUGACGCUGAGGCGCGAAAGCGUGGGGAGCAAAC